Molecule: microRNA precursor, 101 nt
Organism: Rattus norvegicus (Norway rat)
Lineage: Eukaryota; Metazoa; Chordata; Mammalia; Rodentia; Muridae
Source: Ensembl
ACAUCCACAUGUCUGUCUCUGUGGCACACAGGUGCAUGCAUGUGUGCUCUGACUUUCACAUGUCUGUCUCUGUGGCACACAGAUGCAUGCACGUGCACACA